CAGGUGCCCACUCGUGAUGAAAAAAUACCUGAGGUCUUCCUCAAACAUUAAAGCUGGAAAGUCGCCAUAUGACCUAUCAUGUGUCGGUGCGACGUUAAAUCCAAAAAUAGGGCCAAACACGGCAUAGUGAUGGUUUCAGCAGAUACAUCAAAGGCAUAAAACUUCUGUUCAGCUGUCCGACGUACUUUCUUGAAAGGUCCAGACUCAAUGUUGAGACAAAAGCUGAUAAAGACAUAUAUUUAUAGAGAAAAAGAUGUAACCAGGUUGGAUUAUUUACAUAAUCAAGUACUAGUUAUCUCCCUUGGACCAUCAUUGGCAAUUCUCCCGCCUUAUAUUGUUGUUGUAAGCGUCACGUGAGAUCAGUCCCUAGUCAGCUGUAGAGAAGGACGGACAUGUUGAAUUGGUUCCUCUGUUUGAUUAAUUAUCGCUGUAAUGGUCAUUGUUACAGCAUAACAGCACCUUCACGAGUGUGUGUGUUGGACAGUGUACGUAGCAGCUGAAGAGACGGUGUGUGUGUUGAUUCGAUCCACAAUCGGGUCACAACAUUGUCGAUACUUACGAUACUUGUAUUAACAUUUCGGUGUACCCUGCAACCUUAUGCUAUAAACUGUGAAGUAAAUAUGAAUAAAAUGAUGAACUGUACCAGUGUUGUGGUUCAAACAUAUUAGCUGUAAUUACAGUUAGAAGUAGAAGAACCCAAAGGGUAACAAAGAUAUAACAGGAUGCAGAAGGGUAUUAUAUAACGUAGCGUAUGACCGUUGGCUGUACAAAAUGUCUGACUGU
This is a long non-coding RNA of Mercenaria mercenaria, 783 nucleotides long. RefSeq lists it as uncharacterized. Lineage: Eukaryota; Metazoa; Mollusca; Bivalvia; Venerida; Veneridae. The transcript has 3 exons. The record is from RefSeq and is a predicted model, not a curated record.